GUUAGGUGGGGUCAGUAUCCUUAAAUCGCCUCUCUUUUGAGUAGAGUUUACAGUUCAUAUAAUAGCAGAUCAGCAGGCUGUAGGUAAAAUAACGCUCAGAGGAAGAGUAUUAUGAGCUCCAAGCUUGCAAGUGCAGUUAUAAAAAAAAAAAAGUCAUCUGUUUAAACUUUAAUCCCCACCUUUGCUGGAAUUAAGGAGACAAGGAUGAACUUUUAGCUGCUCUUGCAUUUGAUAUGGCUGAGUGCAGGGCUGUAAAUUAGAAAAUAACAAAUAUUGCUGCUAGGUAGCAUUUGCAGCCCCCUGGGGCCUUCCUGGGGCUUUAUUGACCACUGCACAGGACUAUGUGCAAGGCAGCUCGGCCUGGACACCAGUAAAGGGGAGAGAUUUGCACAAGUGCCCAGAGGACUUUGCAAGGAGGCCUUCUCAUCUCUAGGUAGUGCCAAGCAUGGGUAACCAAGAGGGUAUUUUAUGAGCCUCCAGUGUCUACUUCAGUGUGGCUAAAGGUGCUCUUAAUUAGUUUUCUAUUCAGAGGCAUUAAAUUAACUUUACUUAAAAAUAUUGCUUACUUCAUUCAAUGAAGGAAAAUUGGAUUUAGAUUUAGAAUCUCUGUACAGAUGCAAAAUUAGCUGUAAAAUCUCACAUUUUUACCACAGCAUAUGGGCAAAGCAAAAAUGCAAAUGACUUUGCAGUUCUUGAUUUGAAUAUAAGUACUAUUGUGUCUGACACCAACAUACUUUUCCACUUUUUCAGUUCGAAGUUGAGGAGACAGAUGGGAGAGGUAAGGAAAUUAGAGUCAGAAUUGGCCUCCUCUAGGUCGUUAGUCCCCUCAGGUGGGAAUGCAUCUCAUUUAGGAUGGGCCAGUGUCAGAGCCAAGCAGAUCAAGGUCUUGCUUUUUCAGUCAAAUACAUGAAGAGAGAGAAAGAUCACUGAGCAGGGAGGCCUGAGACUUUGAUAAGCCCUUUCUCAUGGGUGAGCCUAAAAAAUAAAGGAUCUUGAGCCUAGAUCAUGUCUAAAUCUCCUUCCAAGUCUAAAUCAUGCUUAUAAAUGACCAUUUUCUGUAUUAUUUCUUAUUACCCUAAAAUUUAGGGAAAAAUUUAUCUCACAAAACUCUGCACAGAAUCCAAACAUAAUAAACUCUUAUUUAUCUAAAAUCUAAAUACCUUGGAAGUUCAAAUAAUCAGAACAGUUUUUGUGAAACCAGAUAAUGUUCACAAUAAUGGUUGCUAUGUUGUACAAUGUACUAAAUUAGCUUCAGAAUCAUAAAGAAAAGAUUAAUUGCUGUUCAGUUUGGUUUUAUAAAGAGUGUUCUAAUUCUCUUCCAGGGAAAUUCUCAGGAAUGAGAAACAAAUCAGAGCAGGUCAGAAAAGAUUAAACAGCCUCCAUUAUUCCACCAGAUUCUGUCACCCUCAACAGAGAGGUUGUGGCUGGCAUUGAUUUUUUUUUCUGAUAAAUCAGAAUAUUGUCAGGCCAGGAACAAGAAGAAAAGAGUCACUGACAGCUUUAUUUCUUGGGAUCUUGAAGGACUGACCCAACUUAGAGAUUACACAGCUAUCCAGUAAAGACACUCAGAGCGUACCACAGGCUAAGCGCUCAGCAGACACUGAGUACGUGCUGAUGGAGAAAAUGGCAGAGACAAAGACCAGAGUAAUGUUGGAAAGACACAUGUUGAGGACAAGAGAGUGACAUCAUCCUGAGUUUCUAUGUGACUGUACAGAACAAAGACAACUCUCUGCCGCCUCCCCCAGUCCCCAGCCUGGAACUUAUUCCCUGGACGGCAGUAGGAGAAAUAAACCUUGACUACAUUUAAGCUAAAGUAUUUUGGGUCCAUUUCUUAUAGGGUUUUAGCUUAAUCUAAUUAAUACAUAGUUGAAAACCAAUAUAUUGUAUAGAAGAAUUUGAAUUGUAUUAGAGUUCCUAGAUGCGAUAAAACCUAAUCUGGGUGUUAAUUAGUAACAAUUGCAAAUAAUUUAGAGAUUUAAUGUGCCAGGAACUGUGCCAAGAAACAACAUGUACUAUCUAAUUGUCACAAUAGCCCUUUACAUUAUGUGUUAUUGAACCUUAACUUUGCCCGUGAAUUAAGUUUAGAACAGCCAUGUAUACAGCUACAAUGGAUGGUAGGCCCAUAAUCUGAACACAUCUACCUCUGCCUAUGAAGUCGGUGUAUGCUGGUGGGGGCUAGUGUAAAGGAAAGGCAUGUAGGUGUGUGUUAUGGGGCAGGUUGGGGCUGGGUGUGACAAUAGCUGUAGGACUUGUCCUUUCCAGUAAUAUUCUUAUAGAAAAAGAGUUCCCUUUGCUCUCCUGUUCUUCAAGCCAGUCUUGACUUCUGAAAUCUGAACUGCUCUUUUUUCCAUCAAUGCUAUGGCAAUGGGAGAACCCAGAAUAAAUUAUCUAGGUAUUUAGAGCUGAAAAAGGAGCCAAAAACCUAGCCCUCACCAACCAGCAUGCCCACUCCCAAACAGGAGCCCAGACAAUCUGAGGGACCACUAAAUAGAGAGCAUAGGGCAAUUAAAUGGAUGACCCUUCCUUUGGAGAAGGAACCCCAGAAGGAUCACAGGCUGAGAGGCAGAAAUUUGGGCCACAGAACAGAAGAAGAAGCCCAGUCAAAGGCAAAUAAAUAACCAUUGUUCAAGAUUACCAACUGCUAGCAUUGAUAAUCAAGAGGUAACUGUAAGUCUUCCUUUUUUUUGCAUCCAGAUGGUCCAGGAGGAAGUCAAAGCAAAUAAAUACAUAUACGCCUG
Molecule: long non-coding RNA, 2738 nt
Organism: Manis pentadactyla (Chinese pangolin)
Lineage: Eukaryota; Metazoa; Chordata; Mammalia; Pholidota; Manidae
Exons: 4
Source: RefSeq, a predicted model, not a curated record